RNAcentral lists this non-coding RNA (182 nucleotides) under Verrucomicrobiota bacterium. RNAcentral describes it as "Verrucomicrobia bacterium (freshwater metagenome) 6S RNA". It matches the Rfam family "6S / SsrS RNA". Rfam says of the family: E. coli 6S RNA was the first non coding RNA to be sequenced, but its function was unknown until recently. It consists of 184 nucleotides that fold into an extended hairpin structure with a large single-stranded internal bulge. Lineage: Bacteria; Pseudomonadati; Verrucomicrobiota. The record is from RNAcentral.
GACACCCUGCAGUGUUCGUGGUGCCUUAAAACAUAGCUCUUUGCCUUAGAAUCAAAUCGGGAGCCGAAAACGUCGUGAAUGCUGCUAGGCCGUAAAUCGGAAAGCAAAAGACACGGCGCAGGCGCCCACUUUAACAUAAAAAGGUCCCGAGCCUUUGGGCAUACGGCACAGGUGGGGUGUCA